GUUGCUUCCUUCCUACUCCCUCCCACACACCCAGGAGCUCCAGCCUGUUAUGGGAUGGGCAUCCUACCAGGAACCAAGGAUGCUAAGAUGUCCUCCAAAAUGGAUUGCCUCAUAUCUAGUACCCGCCUGCUGCAGGCUUCUUCAUCUAGUUCCUCUGGGGACACACUGUGCAGCUAAUUCAUCCAGGCAGAUUCACUGGGAAGCUGUUGCUCAUGAGGGUGUAAUGAAGAAUCUCCAGGUGGAGAAAUGAUCCUGAAUUAUCCAGUGGGCCCUACAUGUCACCACAUUGCGAUCCUUCUAAGUAGGAAGCAGAAGAUCUGACACAUGCAGGAGAGGGGAAGGCAAUGUGACCAUGGAGGCAGAGAGGGGAGUGAUGUGGCCACAAACCAAGGAUUGUUGGCAGCUGCCAGUGGCCGAAGGGGCAAUGAAUGGAUUCUCCUUUGGAGCCUCUGGAGGGAGAAUGGCCCUGCUAACACCUUGAUUUUGGCCCAGUGAUACUGAUUUUGGACUUCUGCCCUCUAGAACUGUGAGGGAAUACUUUUCUGUUGCUUUAAGCCAUUGAAUUUAUGAUGAUUUGUUACAGCACCCACAGGAAACAAAUGCAUGGAUCUAACUUGAACCUAGUGAGUUAGAUUACUUCAGGGAAACACAAUAAAUAGUUAACAGGGCUUGUCAGGGGGGUGGGAGUGAGAUGAAAGUGUGAAGGCAACUUCUAUGGUUUACUUUUAUAUUUCCCUAUUUUUCAAAUCUUUUGCAAGAAAAUGAAUUCAUAUACUAUUUUAAAAAACAUAUAAAAUAUGAGCAAAAAGAUUUAUUGUAUCUCUUUAAAAUAAUUUAGAACAAGUAAUGGCUGCAGAACCUUAAAGGGUUUUUCUAGCAUGUUUCCAAGAUACAGUCUUGAUUAUUUGAGAUUGACAUGAAGAUGGCCCAGACUGUGCCACAACACAGCACUUGACACCAAAUGUUAGACUGUAAUGGGCCGUGUGAGUAUUACUCAGUGUGGCCAUUUCAUUAUCAAAUAUCUAUUUAUUUCAGAUUUCAAACACGAAUACAAGCUUCUCCUUUCUUUCCUUCCUUUCUCUUUUUCUCCUUUCUACAGCAAGUUCAGGAAUGUGCUAGGUAUGACCUGGGAUAGAAAGAGCAUAUACUCAGCUUUUGCCUUCAAGAAAAUUGGAUAUUGGCUUGGGAGAUAAGAUAAAUGAAAAGGAAGCAGAUGAUCUGUUAUAGAAGAGAUAACACUGUAAGCCCAAAUGUAUGUGAUUAAGUUCUAAAAGUGUAAACCAAUAGGGAGUGCUGUGAGGUGUCACCACGGGCGCAGAUUGCAGCAGAUCUGACCAUACAAGUGUAAAUAAAACCCUAUUGAAUGCCCCCUCUCCCUCCCCAAUUGUUCUGAGUGGUUGCUUCAAGAUUUCUUCUCAUCGUUCUCAAAUUGUUACUGUGAGAUUAACUGGCAAACAUUUCUCCUUAACAUAAGAAGUGUGAAUGGAAUCCUACCAAGUGAUUUUGCCAAUAGUUCCUAUUCCUGCUGCAAACAGUGGUGUGCUCAGGCUUAAGCUGUAACAUGUCCACACUCACCUGUCACUUGGGAAUGCCUCUGUUGGAAUGCAACAUGCCCACUUAUCACACAGCCGGCAUGAGAGGCAGAGUGGAGUUUAACCAAGCAUUCUGCCCCCAAAGUCUGCAGAUGUAGCCAGUGCCUUCAGAAAAGGGAAGGGAAACUAACCCUGUUGAGUAUCUACUAUGUGCUAGGCAUUCUGUUAAGCACUUUUACACACAUCAUUUAAUCCUCGUGACAGUAUUUAGAAAUAGCUAUCAUUUCCCAGUUCUGUAGAUGAGGAAGAAAAGGUAGGCUCAGAGAGGGUAGGUAAGUUGUCUAAGGUCACAUAGCUGGUACAUAGUAGUAGAGCUAGGGUGCAAACCCAAGAUUUUCUGAGUCCAAAGCACAUGCCUAUUCCAUCAUUUCGGUAAUAAGAAUAAAUGUCUUUCAAAUGUAGUGGUGAGAGAUGAAUAAAAAGCCGUCCUUGGUGAUCCUGGGGAGUCUACACCCUCUGCCUGCCUGGCUCCACAUCAAGCUUGUGUUUGCCAGCACUUACACCCCUGCAUUUCCCUCCAAUCCCUGUCAUCUCCCUUGUGGAGUCCUCUCCUCCUCUCCUACCCGUUGGUCCCCUUUUUCACCCAUCCUUCAGCCAUUUAAUGAUCUCAUCUUUAAUUCCUGUUUAUAACUCCAUGAGCUCCUCGAUCACUGUCUCCUGAGAUGUCCUUUUUGUCACUGGAACUUGUAUUAAAGUGGUUUUGUAAUGGGUA
This 2304-nucleotide long non-coding RNA is filed under the name Homo sapiens (human). Its description in RNAcentral is "HSALNT0326038". Lineage: Eukaryota; Metazoa; Chordata; Mammalia; Primates; Hominidae. The record is from RNAcentral.